UUUAGUCAGUGGAUCUGCCAAUAUAUCAGUACCAGACAAAAAUGCAAGCCGAACAGUUUUCAGCCUAUUUAUUACAUCUCUAAUAUAAUGAUACUUUCCCUCAAUAUGUCUAGCCCUGCUAUGAAACUUGGGAUCCUUGGAAAGUUUAAUCGCAGCUUGAUUAUCACAAUAAACAGUGACCGGAUCGGACGCAUUUUCAACUAUCUCUAGAGAAACCAGAAAGUUCCUCAACCAAACGCCAUCUUUUACAGCUUCAUUCGCAGCAAUGUACUCUGCUUCCAUAGAAGACUGCGCCACAGAAGUUUGUUUCUUGCUCUUCCAAGAGAUAGCACCUCCAGCCAAAGUAAAUAGACAACCCGACGUCGACUUCCUUUCAUCAAGGUCUCCCUGCCAGUCAGCAUCAGUAUAUCCCUGCAGCUGAAGAUUAUCACCAUUAAAGCAAAGAGAAAAGUCCAUCGUUCCUUUUAUAUAUCGCAUAGCAUAUUUUAUUUGCUUCCAAUGAGCUUCCCCAGGAUUUUUCUAAAAUCUGCUCAACAUUCCAACGGUGUGACACAAAUCUGGUCUUGUAAACAACAUUGCAUACAUAAGAGACCCCAGAGCAGAAGCAUAAGGUAUAUUUUUCAUUUCCCUUAUUUCCUUAGGAGUUUUAGGACAUUGUUCCUCACUAAGUUUAGUUCCUUUUAUCAUUGGUACAUUUGCAGGUUUGCAAUCUUCCAUAGAAAAUCGUUUCAAAACAGUUUUGAGAUAAGUUUUUUGAGACAGCCCCAAAACUUUCCUUUUCCGAUCCCUAUGUAUUUCCACCCCCAAAACAUAAGAGGCUUCCCCCAAAUCUUUCAUAUCAAAAGUAGAUGAUAACCAAGAUUUCACUUCCAUGAAGGCUCCCUUAUGGUUUGAAGCAAUUAAAAUGUCAUCGACAUACAAUGAUAAUAAUGCAAAGUUUCCUCCCACUAUUUUGAAAUAAAUACAGUGAUCUCCUUCCAUCAUAGAGAAACCAUAUGAUGUGAUUGCAGCAUCAAAUAAGGUAUUCCAUUGCCUAGAAGCCUGCCUCAAACCAUAGAUUGAUCUUUUUAACUUACAUACUUUAUUCCGAUUUCCUUUUUCCACAAAACCAUCUGGUUGUGUCAUAUAAAUUUCCUCUUUUAAAUAACCAUUUAAAAAAGCAGAUUUGACAUCCAUUUGAUGGAGAUCAAGAUCAAAAUAAGCAGUUAAGGCACAUAAGAUGCGAAUAGAAGUGAACUUUGCAACAGGAGAAAAUGUUUCCACAAAGUCUACUCCUUCCUUUUGUGUAUAUCCCUUAGCAACUAAUCGAGCUUUAUAUUUUUCCACACCUCCUGAAGCAUUGAGUUUCCUUUUGAAUAUCCAUUUAGAUCCUAUGGCCUGACGGUUUUGGGGUAAAUCAACAAGUUCCCAAACACCAUUUCUUUCCAUGGAGUUUAGUUCUUCCCGCAUAGCUUCCAACCAUAGUCCAGAUUCCUCACAAUCAAUUGCUUGUUUGUAAGUUUUAGGUUCUUCCUCUAAAGACACUUCCCGCAUAGUUUUAGUGUACUUCCCCUAGAAACACAAAAUAAUCAUCUAAAUAAGAUGGUGUCUGUGUGUUCCUCCCACUUCUUCUAGGCAUACUAGUUGAGGGAGUUUCUUCCAUAUUUAUGUCAGGGAUUUGGCUUGAAAGAUUAUCGGUAGAGUCAUUUACUACUUCCUCGGAUUCAGAACAAUUGUCAUUUCCGGCUAUAUUCCUCACAAUGGAGUGGUUUUCAGCAACUAAACUGUCCAUAGCAUCAAUAUCGGAAAUAUCUUCAAUAUAAUAGAGGCCUUCUACGCGGUUCCCUGAUUGUAUUAAUUUUCCUUUUAGCAAUAUUUUAACCUUCCCAUUGCUAAAGUUAACAUCAAAGCCUGCAGAUUCUAGUCUAGAUACCGAUAUGAGAUUUUUCCUCAUAUCUGGAGCAAAUACAGUAUUCUUAAGGACUAAUAUUCCUCCACUUGGGAGUUUUAGAUUAUAGUCCCCAAUUCCUAGUAUAUCUGCCUUUGAUGUUGUUCCUAGAUAAAUAUAUCUAGUUCCCUUUUGUAUUGGUUUAAAUGAACAGAAGGAAUUCCUAUCUCUUGCAAUGUGUGAGGUGGAGCCAGAAUCAACCACCCAACUAUUUGACAAGGAAGUUGUAAAUAGAGAUUCUGAACAUACAAAAACAUGUGACAUACCAUCAGGUGAAGAAUUUCCCCUUCUAUUAUCCUGAUGCUUGGACUGGUUGUUGUUAUACUUCUUAUCAU
This 2262-nucleotide long non-coding RNA is filed under the name Triticum aestivum (bread wheat). Its description in RNAcentral is "long non-coding RNA (TAES_LNC006306)". The record is from RNAcentral. Lineage: Eukaryota; Viridiplantae; Streptophyta; Magnoliopsida; Poales; Poaceae.